CCUUGUACACACCGCCCGUCACACCAUGGGAGUUGGCUGCACCAGAAGUAGGUAGUCUAACCGUAAGGGGGGCGCUUACCACGGUGUGGUCAAUGACUGGGGUG
RNAcentral lists this ribosomal RNA (104 nucleotides) under uncultured bacterium. RNAcentral's name for it is "partial 16S ribosomal RNA". It matches the Rfam family "Bacterial small subunit ribosomal RNA", at positions 1379 to 1482 of the family's 1533-position model. The record is from RNAcentral.